CCUACGGGUGGCAGCAGUGGGGAAUAUUGGGCAAUGGGCGCAAGCCUGACCCAGCAACGCCGCGUGAGGGAAGAAGGCUUUCGGUUUGUAAACUUCUUUUCUCAGGGACGAAGAAAGUGACGGUACCUUAGGAAUAAGCCACUGCGAACUACGUGCCAGCAGCCGCGGUAAUACGGAGGUGGCAAGCGGUAUCCGGAUUUAUUGGGUGUAAAGGGCGUGUAGGCGGGAGCGCAAGUCAGAUGUGAAAACUCAGGGCUCAACCCUGAGACUGCAUUUGAAACUGUGUUUCUUGAGUGCUGGAGAGGCAAUCGGAAUUCCGAGUGUAGCGGUGAAAUGCGUAGAUAUACGGAGGAACACCAGUGGCGAAGGCGGAUUGCUGGACAGUAACUGACGCUGAGGCGCGAAAGCGUGGGGAGCAAACAGGAUUAGAUACCCGUGUAGUC
RNAcentral lists this ribosomal RNA (443 nucleotides) under uncultured bacterium. RNAcentral's name for it is "partial 16S ribosomal RNA". It matches the Rfam family "Bacterial small subunit ribosomal RNA", at positions 338 to 795 of the family's 1533-position model. The record is from RNAcentral.